UACGAAGGGGGCUAGCGUUGUUCGGAAUCACUGGGCGUAAAACGCACGUAGGCGGAUGGUUAAGUCAGAGGUGAAAGCCUGGAGCUCAACUCCAGAACUGCCUUUGAUACUGGCCAUCUCGAGUCCGGAAGAGGUAAGUGGAACUGCGAGUGUAGAGGUGAAAUUCGUAGAUAUUCGCAAGAACACCAGUGGCGAAGGCGGCUUACUGGUCCGGUACUGACGCUGAGGUGCGAAAGCGUGGGGAGCAAACAGG
RNAcentral lists this ribosomal RNA (253 nucleotides) under uncultured bacterium. RNAcentral's name for it is "partial 16S ribosomal RNA". It matches the Rfam family "Bacterial small subunit ribosomal RNA", at positions 524 to 776 of the family's 1533-position model. The record is from RNAcentral.